CGGACUGUCGUAUAACGGUAGUAUGUACGCUUCGGGUGCGUGCGGCCCGGGUUCGACUCCCGGCAGUCCGACAA
This 74-nucleotide transfer RNA is filed under the name Candidatus Harrisonbacteria bacterium CG10_big_fil_rev_8_21_14_0_10_44_23. RNAcentral describes it as "tRNA-Pro". It matches the Rfam family "tRNA". Rfam says of the family: Transfer RNA (tRNA) molecules are approximately 80 nucleotides in length. Their secondary structure includes four short double-helical elements and three loops (D, anti-codon, and T loops). The record is from RNAcentral. Lineage: Bacteria; Candidatus Harrisoniibacteriota.